GUUCUUGUAGUUGAAUCUACAACGGUGGUUUUUCAUAUCAUUGGUCAUGGUUAAAGUCCAUGCAGGAAUU
This 70-nucleotide transfer RNA is filed under the name Ochotona hyperborea (northern pika). Its description in RNAcentral is "tRNA-Glu". It matches the Rfam family "tRNA". Rfam says of the family: Transfer RNA (tRNA) molecules are approximately 80 nucleotides in length. Their secondary structure includes four short double-helical elements and three loops (D, anti-codon, and T loops). Lineage: Eukaryota; Metazoa; Chordata; Mammalia; Lagomorpha; Ochotonidae. The record is from RNAcentral.